This 447-nucleotide ribosomal RNA is filed under the name uncultured bacterium. RNAcentral describes it as "partial 16S ribosomal RNA". It matches the Rfam family "Bacterial small subunit ribosomal RNA", at positions 29 to 523 of the family's 1533-position model. The record is from RNAcentral.
AACGAACGCUGGCGGCAGGCUUAACACAUGCAAGUCGAACGCCCCGCAAGGGGAGUGGCAGACGGGUGAGUAACGCGUGGGAAUCUACCGUACCCUACGGAACAACAGUUGGAAACGACUGCUAAUACCGUAUACGCCCUACGGGGGAAAGAUUUAUCGGGGUAUGAUGAGCCCGCGUUGGAUUAGCUAGUUGGUGGGGUAAAGGCCUACCAAGGCGACGAUCCAUAGCUGGUCUGAGAGGAUGAUCAGCCACAUUGGGACUGAGACACGGCCCAAACUCCUACGGGAGGCAGCAGUGGGGAAUAUUGGACAAUGGGCGCAAGCCUGAUCCAGCCAUGCCGCGUGAGUGAUGAAGGUCUUAGGAUUGUAAAGCUCUUUCACCGAUGAAGAUAAUGACGGUAGUCGGAGAAGAAGCCCCGGCUAACUUCGUGCCAGCCGCCGCAGUAA